GGUCCCGUAGCUCAGCGGAUAGAGCGUAAGUUUCCUAAACUUUGCGUCGGAGGUUCAAUUCCUCUCGGGACCG
Molecule: transfer RNA, 73 nt
Filed under: Atopostipes suicloacalis DSM 15692
Lineage: Bacteria; Bacillati; Bacillota; Bacilli; Lactobacillales; Carnobacteriaceae
Rfam family: tRNA
About the family: Transfer RNA (tRNA) molecules are approximately 80 nucleotides in length.
Source: Rfam by way of RNAcentral